RNAcentral lists this ribosomal RNA (498 nucleotides) under uncultured bacterium. RNAcentral's name for it is "partial 16S ribosomal RNA". It matches the Rfam family "Bacterial small subunit ribosomal RNA", at positions 28 to 507 of the family's 1533-position model. The record is from RNAcentral.
GACGAACGCUGGCGGCAUGCCUAACACAUGCAAGUCGAACGGAGAUUACUUCGGUAAUCUUAGUGGCGAACGGGUGCGUAACGCGUGGGCACCCUGCCCUCUAGAUCGGGACAACAUCCCGAAAGGGGUGCUAAUACCGAAUGUGACAGCAAUCUCGCAUGAGGAUGCUGUUAAAGAUGGCCUCGAUUUAUAAGCUAUCGCUAGAGGAUGGGCCUGCGUCUGAUUAGCUAGUUGGUGGGGUAACGGCCUACCAAGGCGAUGAUCAGUAGCCGGUCUGAGAGGGUGGACGGCCACAUUGGGACUGGGACACGGCCCCGACUCCUACGGGAGGCAGCAGUGGGGAAUCUUCCGCAAUGGGGGAAAGCCUUACGGAGCAAUGCCGCGGGAGUGAUGAAGGAAUUCGUUCCGUAAAGCUCCUUUGUUUAUGACGAAUGUGCAGAGUGUAAAUAAUAAUCUGUAAUGACGGUAGUAAACGAAUAAGCCACGGCUAACUACGUG